GGGUUUGUAUCUUGGCUCAGAUUGAACGCUGGCGGCAUGCCUUACACAUGCAAGUCGAACGGCAGCACGGGAGCUUGCUCCUGGUGGCGAGUGGCGAACGGGUGAGUAAUGCAUCGGAACGUAUCCUGGAUGGGGGAUAACGUAGCGAAAGUUACGCUAAUACCGCAUAUUCUGUGAGCAGGAAAGCGGGGGAACCUUUCGGGGCCUCGCGACUCUUGGAGCGGCCGAUGUCGGAUUAGCUAGUUGGU
Molecule: ribosomal RNA, 248 nt
Filed under: bacterium enrichment culture clone ALO1_GLFRUDD03HFC73
Lineage: Bacteria
Description: partial 16S ribosomal RNA
Rfam family: Bacterial small subunit ribosomal RNA
Source: RNAcentral